GCAGUCGCACGGACCUUUCGGGGUCAGUGGCGGACGGGUGAGUAACGCGUAGGGAAUAUCCAUGGGUGGGGGAUAACACUGGGAAACUGGUGCUAAUACCGCAUGAUGCCUGAGGGCCAAAGGCGCAAGUCGCCUGUGGAGGAGCCUGCGUUCGAUUAGCUUGUUGGUGGGGUAAAGGCCUACCAAGGCGAUGAUCGAUAGCUGGUCUGAGAGGAUGAUCAGCCACACUGGGACUGAGACACGGCCCAGACUCCUACGGGAGGCAGCAGUGGGGAAUAUUGGACAAUGGGCGCAAGCCUGAUCCAGCAAUGCCGCGUGUGUGAAGAAGGUCUUCGGAUUGUAAAGCACUUUCGACGGGGACGAUGAUGACGGUACCCGUAGAAGAAGCCCCGGCUAACUUCGUGCCAGCAGCCGCGGUAAUACGAAGGGGGCUAGCGUUGCUCGGAAUAACUGGGCGUAAAGGGCGCGUAGGCGGUUUGGA
This 481-nucleotide ribosomal RNA is filed under the name Kozakia baliensis. RNAcentral describes it as "bacterial SSU rRNA". It matches the Rfam family "Bacterial small subunit ribosomal RNA", at positions 57 to 584 of the family's 1533-position model. Lineage: Bacteria; Pseudomonadati; Pseudomonadota; Alphaproteobacteria; Acetobacterales; Acetobacteraceae. The record is from RNAcentral.